Molecule: RNase P RNA, 371 nt
Filed under: Nocardioides sp. BGMRC 2183
Lineage: Bacteria; Bacillati; Actinomycetota; Actinomycetes; Propionibacteriales; Nocardioidaceae
Description: RNase P RNA component class A
Rfam family: Bacterial RNase P class A
About the family: Ribonuclease P (RNase P) is a ubiquitous endoribonuclease, found in archaea, bacteria and eukarya as well as chloroplasts and mitochondria. Its best characterised activity is the generation of mature 5'-ends of tRNAs by cleaving the 5'-leader elements of precursor-tRNAs. Cellular RNase Ps are ribonucleoproteins.
Source: RNAcentral
CGGGCUGGCCGGGCGACCGCGUGAUCCCUUCGGGGGUCCCGAGGAAAGUCCGGGCUCCACAGAGCAGGGUGGUGGGUAACACCCACCCGAGGUGACUCGCGGGACAGUGCCACAGAGAACAGACCGCCGGCCCCACGGGUCGGUAAGGGUGAAACGGUGGGGUAAGAGCCCACCAGUGCCCCGGGCGACCGGGGCAGCUCGGCAAACCCCACCCGGAGCAAGUCCAGACAGUGCACGACGACCUCGGUCGGGAGGGCUGCUCGCCCGAGUGCACGGGUAGGGCGCUGGAGACCGCCGGCAACGACGGCCGUAGAUGGAUGGUCGCCCCCUGGUGACAGGGACAGAACCCGGCUUACAGGCCAGCCCGUCCA